RNAcentral lists this ribosomal RNA (458 nucleotides) under uncultured bacterium. Its description in RNAcentral is "partial 16S ribosomal RNA". It matches the Rfam family "Bacterial small subunit ribosomal RNA", at positions 338 to 795 of the family's 1533-position model. The record is from RNAcentral.
CCUACGGGAGGCAGCAGUGAGGAAUAUUGGUCAAUGGGCGAGAGCCUGAACCAGCCAAGUCGCGUGAGGGAGUACUGCCCUAUGGGUUGUAAACCUCUUUUGUCGGGGAGCAAAAGCCGGACGUGUCCGGCUGUGAGAGUACCCGAAGAAAAAGCAUCGGCUAACUCCGUGCCAGCAGCCGCGGUAAUACGGAGGAUUCGAGCGUUAUCCGGAUUUAUUGGGUUUAAGGGGUGCGAAGGCGGAUUUUUAAGUCAGCGGUAAAAUCGUGGGGCUCAACCCCAUCCAGCCGUUGAAACUGGGGAUCUAGAGUGUGCGAGAGGUAUGCGGAAUGCGUGGUGUAGCGGUGAAAUGCAUAGAUAUCACGCAGAACCCCGAUUGCGAAGGCAGCAUACCGGUGCACAACUGACGCUCAGGCACGAAAGCGUGGGUAUCGAACAGGAUUAGAUACCCCGGUAGUC